AUCUACCAUGAACGACUUCUGAAUCCAGGAAGAGAGACUGACUGGGCAACAUGUUAUUCAGGGUCUCCCUCUGUUGUCCAAGGCUGGAGUGUAGUAGUGCUAUCACAGCUGACUGCAGCCUCAACCUUCCAGGCUGAAGCGAUCCUCCCAUCUCAACCUCCCACGUGGCUGAGACUAUAGGUGCUUGCCACUAUGCCCAACUAAUAUUUGGAAUUUUCCUAUACGUGGAUUCCAGAGGGGUGACAGUGAAAC
This 252-nucleotide long non-coding RNA is filed under the name Pongo abelii (Sumatran orangutan). RNAcentral describes it as "lincRNA". The record is from RNAcentral. Lineage: Eukaryota; Metazoa; Chordata; Mammalia; Primates; Hominidae.